RNAcentral lists this ribosomal RNA (256 nucleotides) under uncultured bacterium. RNAcentral describes it as "partial 16S ribosomal RNA". It matches the Rfam family "Bacterial small subunit ribosomal RNA", at positions 524 to 776 of the family's 1533-position model. The record is from RNAcentral.
UACGUAGGCAGCAAGCGUUGUUCGGAGUUACUGGGCGUAAAGGGUGCGUAGGCGGCUUUUUAAGUUUGGUGUGAAAUCUCCCGGCUCAACUGGGAGGGUGCGCCGAAUACUGAGAGGCUAGAGUGUGGGAGAGGAAAGUGGAAUUCCUGGUGUAGCGGUGAAAAUGCGUAGAUAUCAGGAGGAACACCGGUGGUGUAAACGGCUUUCUGGACCAUAACUGACGCUGAUGCACGAAAAGCGUGGGGUAGCAAACAGG